GAGAAAGUAAGCAAGGGCAGACGGUGGAUGCCUUGGCUCUCGGAGGCGACGAAGGACGUGAUAAGCUGCGAAAAGCUCGGGGGAGGCGCAAAUAGCCGUUGAUCCCGGGAUAUCCGAAUGGGGCAACCCGGCAGGCUGAAGGCCUGCCAUCCCGUAAGGGAGGCGAACGUGGGGAACUGAAACAUCUAAGUACCCAUAGGAGGAGAAAAUAAACAAUGAUUCCGUAAGUAGUGGCGAGCGAACACGGAAGAGCCCAAACCCAUGUCGUCUAGGCGACACGGGGGUUGUAGGACCACGACGUGGCAAGAUAGAGUCAAGUGGAACGCCUUGGAAAAGGCGGUCAUAGAGGGUGAAAACCCCGUACACGACUGACGAUUGAAGCCUAGUGGCAUCCUGAGUAGCGCGGGGCACGAGAAAUCUUGCGUGAAACUGCGGGGCCCAUCCCGUAAGGCUAAAUACUCCCGAGAGACCGAUAGCGAACCAGUACCGUGAGGGAAAGGUGAAAAGAACCCCGAGCAGGGGAGUGAAAUAGACCCUGAACCCGUCUGCCUACAAGCGGUCGGAGCAUCGUCAAGAUGUGACGGCGUGCCUUUUGCAUAAUGAACCUACGAGUUACCUUCCCCGGCAAGGUUAAGUACCUAAGGUACGGAGCCGAAGCGAAAGCGAGUCUGAAGAGGGCGGCCAGUCGGGGGGGGUAGACGCGAAACCGAGUGAUCUACCCUUGGCCAGGUUGAAGGUUGGGUAACACCAACUGGAGGACCGGAUGGGUAAGCGUUGAAAAGCUUUCCAAUGAGCUGAGGGUAGGGGUGAAAGGCUAAUCAAACUCGGAGAUAGCUCGUACUCCCCGAAAUGCAUUUAGGUGCAGCCUCUUUAUAGUAUAUCGUGAGGUAGAGCGACUGAUUGGAUGCGAGGGCUUCACCGCCUAUCAAGUCCAGAUAAACUCCGAAUGCGCGAUAUAUAUUUAAAGGGAGUGAGGGCGCGGGUGCUAAGGUCCGUGUCCGAGAGGAGAAGAAUCCAGACCACCGGCUAAGGCCCCCAAAUGAUCGUUGAGUUGAACUAACGAGGUCGGAUCGCAGAGACAGCUAGGAUGUUGGCUUGGAAGCAGCCAUUCAUUUAAAGAGUGCGUAACAGCUCACUAGUCGAGCGAUCUGGCGUGGAUAAUAAUCGGGCAUAAACGAUCUGCCGAAGCCGUGGAUGUCGUAAGACAUGGUAGGGGAGCAUUCCAUGCGGCGUCGAAGAUGAGGGAUGACCCUUGUUGGAGCGCAUGGAAAAGCAAAUGUAGGUAUGAGUAACGAUAAGGGGGGCGAGAAACCCCCCCGCCGAAAGACCAAGGUUUCCUGAUCAACGCUAAUCGGAUCAGGGUGAGUCGGGACCUAAGGCAAAGCCGAACGGCGACGCCGAUGGAAGAAUGGGUUAAUAUUCCCAUACUGCCUCAUGGAGUGACGUGGAGACGGAGAAGUGACAGUCCUGCCGGCUGACGGAAUAGCCGGUUGAAGGGUGUAGAUAUUGAUUCCCGUAGGCAAAUCCGCGGGGAGAGUCGAACCUGACAGUAUACCGAGUACUUGUACGAGGUAAUAUGGACGUAACCAUGCUCCCAAGAAAAUCCGCUAAACUUAUCCAUGCGGCACCCGUACCGUAAACGGACACACGUGGUCGGGUUGAGAAUACUGAGGCGCUCGAGUGACUCACGGUUAAGGAACUAGGCAAAUUGACCCUGUAACUUCGGGAUAAAGGGUCCUCGUCGUAAGGCGAGGCGCAGAGAAUAGGUCCAGGCAACUGUUUAACAAAAACACAUGGCUGUGCUAAAUGGAAACAUGACGUAUACAGCCUGACACCUGCCCGGUGCUGGAAGGUUAAGAGGAGAUGUCAUCGCAAGAGAAGCGUUGAAUUGAAGCCCCAGUAAACGGCGGCCGUAACUAUAACGGUCCUAAGGUAGCGAAAUUCCUUGUCGGGUAAGUUCCGACCUGCACGAAUGGUGUAAUGAUCUGGACACUGUCUCAACCGUGAGCUCGGUGAAAUUGUAGUAUCGGUGAAGAUGCCGAUUACCCGCGAUGGGACGAAAAGACCCCGUGAACCUUUACUAUAGCUUUACAUUGAAUUUGGGCAGACGAUGUGUAGGAUAGGCCGGAGGCUUUGAAGGGGGUACGCCAGUAUCCUUGGAGCCGCCGUUGAAAUACGGCCCUUCGGUUGUUUGAGUUCUAACUCCUAGGCAGGAGGACACUGUAUGGUGGGUAGUUUGACUGGGGUGGUCGCCUCCAAAAGCGUAACGGAGGCUUCUAAAGGUGCCCUCAGACCGAUUGGUAACCGGUCGUAGAGUGUAAUGGCAUAAGGGCGCUUGACUGGGAGAGAUACAACUCGAUCAGGUAGGAAACUAGAGCAUAGUGAUCCGGUGGUUCCGCAUGGAAGGGCCAUCGCUCAAAGGAUAAAAGGUACUCCGGGGAUAACAGGCUGAUCAUUCCCAAGAGCUCAUAUCGACGGAAUGGUUUGGCACCUCGAUGUCGGCUCGUCACAUCCUGGGGCUGGAGAAGGUCCCAAGGGUUGGGCUGUUCGCCCAUUAAAGUGGCACGCGAGCUGGGUUCAGAACGUCGUGAGACAGUUCGGUCUCUAUCUAUCGUGGGCGCAGGAGAUUUGAGGGGCUCUGACACUAGUACGAGAGGACCGUGUUGGACGUACCACUGGUUUACCGGUUGUCCCGCCAGGGGCACCGCCGGGUAUCUAAGUACGGAUCGGAUAAGUGCUGAAAGCAUCUAAGUACGAAGCCGGCCUCAAGAUUAGAUCUCCCUCAAGGGUGGUUAUAGACGAUGACCUUGAUAGGCCACAGGUGUAAGGGCGGCGACGUCCGAGCCGAGUGGUACUAAUAGCCCGGGACUUUCCUCA
This 2877-nucleotide ribosomal RNA is filed under the name Parabacteroides distasonis. Its description in RNAcentral is "23S ribosomal RNA". It matches the Rfam family "Bacterial large subunit ribosomal RNA". Lineage: Bacteria; Pseudomonadati; Bacteroidota; Bacteroidia; Bacteroidales; Tannerellaceae. The record is from RNAcentral.